RNAcentral lists this ribosomal RNA (468 nucleotides) under uncultured bacterium. RNAcentral's name for it is "partial 16S ribosomal RNA". It matches the Rfam family "Bacterial small subunit ribosomal RNA", at positions 28 to 507 of the family's 1533-position model. The record is from RNAcentral.
GACGAACGCUGGCGGCGUGCUUAACACAUGCAAGUCGAACGGAAAGGCCCUGCUUUUGUGGGGUGCUCGAGUGGCGAACGGGUGAGUAACACGUGAGUAACCUGCCCUUGACUUUGGGAUAAAUUCAGGAAACUGGGGCUAAUACCGGAUAGGAGCUCCUGCUGCCUGGUGGGGGUUGGAAAGUUUCGGCGGUUGGGGAUGGACUCGCGGCUUAUCAGCUUGUUGGUGGGGUAGUGGCUUACCAAGGCUUUGACGGGUAGCCGGCCUGAGAGGGUGACCGGCCACAUUGGGACUGAGAUACGGCGCAGACUCCUACGGGAGGCAGCGGUGGGGAAUAUUGCACAAUGGGCGGAAGCCUGAUGCAGCAACGCCGCGUGCGGGAUGACGGCCUUCGGGUUGUAAACCGCUUUCGCCUGUGACGAAGCGUGAGUGACGGUAAUGGGUAAAGAAGCACCGGCUAACUACGUG